UUUCCGGUUGAUCCUUGCCGGACCUUGACUGCUAUUCGGAUUGAUACUAAGCCAUUGCGAGUCUUUUGUAGGUAAUACAAGGGCAGACUGGCUCAGUAACAUCGUUAGUUCAAUUCUAACCUAUGGACUGGGGAUAACCUCGGGAAAGCUGAGAAUAAUACCCGAUAGAUCAUUAUGUCCUGGUAAUGGUUUUAUGGUCGAAAUUGAUUUAUCGCUCGUAGAGUGGGACUUGCGUUCUAUCAGCUGUGUUUGGUGAGGUUAAUGGCCCACCAAUGGCUAUAACAGUAUUACGGUGCUCUGAGAGGAGGAAGCCCUGGAGAUGGGUACUUGAGACACUGGACCCAGUGCCCUAUGUGGGCGCAGUCAGUGCGAGUAAAACUUUUGCAAUUGUUGCGAAAGUCACGACAAUGGUUAAUCGCGAGUUGUUUUUCUGCUAUAUAGAAAUCUUUUGGUCUAGUCCUAUAAAACACUGUAUGAAUAGUAGUGGGUGGUGCAAGUUUCUGGUGUUCAGCUCGCCGUCGGUGAAAACCUAGCACCUUCAAGUUGGUCAUGGAGGAUUCAUUUGGGCCUAGAAGCAUUCCGUUAGGCCUGGCUUCUGUAAGUUUACGGUUAAAUCUAUAUGCUCUAACAUAUAGGCUGCGCGGGAAUACUG
RNAcentral lists this ribosomal RNA (652 nucleotides) under uncultured archaeon. RNAcentral's name for it is "bacterial SSU rRNA". It matches the Rfam family "Archaeal small subunit ribosomal RNA", at positions 1 to 586 of the family's 1478-position model. The record is from RNAcentral.